Molecule: ribosomal RNA, 432 nt
Filed under: uncultured eukaryote
Lineage: Eukaryota
Description: bacterial SSU rRNA
Rfam family: Eukaryotic small subunit ribosomal RNA
Source: RNAcentral
CAAUAGCGUAUAUUAAAGUUGUUGCAGUUAAAAAGCUCGUAGUUGGAUUUCUGGUACAACGCGCCUGGCCCGCUUUAUGUGAGUGCCGGUGCGCGUUUGCCAUCCUUCUAGAAAACGUUUCUACCUGGGCAACCGGGCCGGACUCGCGAUCUAGAUCUUUUACUUUGAAAAAUUAGAGUGUUUAAAGCAGGCUUUUGCUGUGAAUACAUUAGCAUGGAAUAAUAAUCUAGGACUUCGGUUCUAUUUUGUUUGGUUUCUUAGAUCUGAAGUAAUGAUUGAUAGGGAUAGUUGGGGGUGGCUAGUAUUAAGGGGCCGAGAGGUGAAAUUACUUGGAUUCUCUUAAGACUAACUUAUGCGAAAGCAUUCACCAAGGAUGUCUUCUUUAAUUCAAGAACGAAAGUUAGGGGGGAGUCGAAGACGAUCAGAUACCAU